CAUGUGUAGCGGUGAAAUGCGUAGAUAUAUGGAGGANCACCAGUGGCGAAAGCGGCUCUCUGGUCUGUCACUGACGCUGAGGCUCGAAAGCGUGGGUAGCGAACAGGAUUAGAUACCCUGGUAGUCCACGCCGUAAACGAUGAGUGCUAGGUGUUAGGCCCUUUCCGGGGCUUAGUGCCGGAGCUAACGCAAUAAGCACUCCGCCUGGGGAGUACGACCGCAAGGUUGAAACUCAAAGGAAUUGACGGGGGCCCGCACAAGCGGUGGAGCAUGUGGUUUAAUUCGAAGCAACGCGAAGAACCUUACCAGGUCUUGACAUCCCGAUGCUAUUCUUAGAGAUAGGAAGUUACUUCGGUACAUCGGAGACAGGUGGUGCAUGGUUGUCGUCAGCUCGUGUCGUGAGAUGUUGGGUUAAGUCCCGCAACGAGCGCAACCCUUAUUGUUAGUUGCCAUCAUUAAGUUGGGCACUCUAGCGAGACUGCCGGUAAUAAACCGGAGGAAGGUGGGGAUGACGUCAAAUCAUCAUGCCCCUUAUGACCUGGGCUACACACGUGCUACAAUGGUCGGUACAACGAGUUGCGAGCCGGUGACGGCAAGCUNAUCUCUGAAAGCCGAUCUCAGUUCGGAUUGGAGGCUGCAACUCGCCUCCAUGAAGUCGGAAUCGCUAGUAAUCGCGGAUCAGCACGCCGCGGUGAAUACGUUCCCGGGCCUUGUACACACCGCCCGUCACACCACGAGAGUUUGUAACACCCGAAGUCGGUGAGGUANCCUUUUAGGGGCCA
Molecule: ribosomal RNA, 782 nt
Filed under: uncultured bacterium
Lineage: Bacteria
Description: bacterial SSU rRNA
Rfam family: Bacterial small subunit ribosomal RNA
Source: RNAcentral